Molecule: transfer RNA, 74 nt
Filed under: Magallana gigas (Pacific oyster)
Lineage: Eukaryota; Metazoa; Mollusca; Bivalvia; Ostreida; Ostreidae
Description: Crassostrea gigas (Pacific oyster) tRNA
Rfam family: tRNA
About the family: Transfer RNA (tRNA) molecules are approximately 80 nucleotides in length. Their secondary structure includes four short double-helical elements and three loops (D, anti-codon, and T loops). Further hydrogen bonds mediate the characteristic L-shaped molecular structure. tRNAs have two regions of fundamental functional importance: the anti-codon, which is responsible for specific mRNA codon recognition, and the 3' end, to which the tRNAs corresponding amino acid is attached (by aminoacyl-tRNA synthetases). tRNAs cope with the degeneracy of the genetic code in two manners: having more than one tRNA (with a specific anti-codon) for a particular amino acid; and 'wobble' base-pairing, i.e. permitting non-standard base-pairing at the 3rd anti-codon position.
Source: Rfam by way of RNAcentral
CACUAGAUAGCUCAGUUGGUAGAGCACCUGAAUAAGAAAUUCAGGGGGGCAAUUUUCGAAUCUUGGUCUGGUGC